This 1164-nucleotide ribosomal RNA is filed under the name uncultured bacterium. RNAcentral describes it as "bacterial SSU rRNA". It matches the Rfam family "Bacterial small subunit ribosomal RNA", at positions 11 to 1111 of the family's 1533-position model. The record is from RNAcentral.
GUUUGAUCCUGGCUCAAAUAAACGCUGGUGGCAUGCUUUAUACAUGCAAGUCGAGCGAAGACUAGAUUUGUAGUAGAAAUGAUUGAUUUUCACUUUGUGGAGAUUAUGAGUUUUUGCUAUUCCUGGUCUUAGCGGCGAACGGGUGAGUAACGCGUGAAUAAUCUGCCCUUGAAAUCGGGAUACCAUUCCGAAAGGAAUGCUAAUACCGAAUAACGUUAUGAAACAUAGGUUUCAUAACCAAAGUUGAAUCUUCGGAUUCUUCGUUCAAGGAUGAGUUCGCGUCCUAUUAGCUAGUUGGUGAGGUAAAGGCUCACCAAGGCUAUGAUGGGUAGCCGGCCUGAGAGGGCGUACGGCCACAUUGGGACUGAGACACGGCCCAGACUCCUACGGGAGGCAGCAGUAGGGAAUCUUCCGCAAUGGGCGAAAGCCUGACGGAGCGAUGCCACGUGGAUGACGGAGGCCUUCGGGUCGUAAAAUCCUGUCAGGGGGGACGAUGGUCAGUUUUCGGAUUGAUUGACGGUACCUCCAGAGGAAGCUCCGGCCAACUACGUGCCAGCAGCCGCGGUAAUACGUAGGGAGCAAGUGUUGUUCGGAUUUACUGGGCGUAAAGAGUGCGUAGGUGGCUAUACAAGUCAAGGGUGAAAUCUCUAUUUUCAAGGUAGAAACUGCCUUUGAUACUGUAUGGCUAGAGGACAAGAGGGGAAAUGGAACUCUGGGAGUAGCGGUGAAAUGCGUAGAUAUCCAGAGGAACGCCAGUAGCGAAGGCGGUUUCCUGGCUUGUUUCUGACACUGAGGCACCAAAGCUAGGGGAGCGAUCGGGAUUAGAGACCCCGGUAGUCCUAGCCCUAAACGAUGGGUACUAGGUGUGGGGGGAGCAUUACCCUCUGUGCCGAAGCUAACGCGUUAAGUACCCCGUCUGGGGAGUACGGUCGCAAGACUGAAACUCAAAAGAAUUGACGGGGGGCUGAACAAGCAGUGGAGCACGUGGUUUAAUUCGACGCAAAGCGAAGAACCUUACCAGGACUUGACAUGCUAGUAGUAGUGAUCCGAAAGGUGAGCCAUCCAGGCUUCGGCUUGGAAGCUAGCACAGGUGGUGCAUGGUUGUCGUCAGCUCGUGCCGUGAGGUGUCGGGUUAAGUCCUUUAACGAGCGCAACCCUUGUCCU